GCUCCUCCCACACACCUGUUUUAGAUAUAUGACCUGACGAAAUAGACAAGUAUGGUCAGUCAGCUCUCUGAAAUGAUUUGUCUGGAUCCUGAGAUGUGCUCCCAACUCUGCCAGCAAGAACUCAAACUGCCAUGCUGACAUCCUGAGAUAUGUAAGAAAGUGGUCAUGAAACAGCUUCAACUCCUGGAUCAAACCAUGAAAUUCUCCCUGCUGCUGCUUUCUCCUAAGAAUCUGUUUCUUCCUAGAAGAUAGAAAAACACACGACAGAGCACCAUCAGUCAUGGAUUGAUCUCCCCAGAACUUGAAUCUCCACAUUGUUAAAUAAAGUGUGAUAUCAUCUCAACACAGAAUGGGACAAAGUACAGUCAACAUCCAAAGAAAUGUUUGCACUGUUACUACUCAGCCAUACCCAAAAUAGACUUGGCAAGAACUGUACAAAAAUAUUUCAAUAAAUCACUCCACCUGCUAUUUAUUUUCCCAGCAAAAUAUAAGAAAAGAGUGACAGUUCAAGAAUAUUCCACAAUACUGUGUAACGCAACCAUAUUUAUUGUUUUUAAGAUGUUUUAGCUGCUUUGGAGUGAUAUAUGAAUGUAUACAAAAAAGACUUGAGUCCUUUCAAUGCAACUCUCUGAUAAAUGAUUGCUUGCUGUGCACUUAAUUGUGCUAAUAAACUGUGCCCAGGACUUCUGGUAAGUGAA
Molecule: long non-coding RNA, 698 nt
Organism: Pundamilia nyererei
Lineage: Eukaryota; Metazoa; Chordata; Actinopteri; Cichliformes; Cichlidae
Exons: 2
Source: RefSeq, a predicted model, not a curated record